Long non-coding RNA from Chiroxiphia lanceolata (lance-tailed manakin), 403 nucleotides. RefSeq lists it as uncharacterized. Lineage: Eukaryota; Metazoa; Chordata; Aves; Passeriformes; Pipridae. The record is from RefSeq and is a predicted model, not a curated record. The transcript is spliced from 3 exons.
GGCCUUCCCAGCAUCCCUGCAGCCCGUCCAGGGCAGGCUGCUGCCCAUCGGCCCCCGAUCGCAGGCUGGCUCGUGGUUUCCCCUGGUGCGGAGGCGAGUUGUGCUUCCUGCGGGGAGAGAGAAGGGCCUCGGGAAGCUGCUCCAUGACCCCCAGCUGUGCCGAGCCCGGGAGUCUGUCCAGACUUCACAAAACUCCCCAGGAAAGGAAGCUUUAGAUUCCUCCCCAGCUUUAUGCUAAAGGUUUCCUUCCUCCUGUUUCAGCACCCUUUCUCCUGUUGGGAGAGCACAAGGUGGAUGGAGAGGAUCUGCAGGCACAAGGGACUCGUACAACUGCGAUUUUCCUACAGCCCUCAUGAAAGGGACUUCCAGGACACUCUUGGGAAUGUGUCAGCUCUCCUCCUAG